GACGAACGCUGGCGGCGUGCUUAACACAUGCAAGUCGAACGGAAAGGCCCUGCUUUUGUGGGGUGCUCGAGUGGCGAACGGGUGAGUAACACGUGAGUAACCUGCCCUUCACUUUGGGAUAACUUCAGGAAACUGGGGCUAAUACCGGAUAGGAUCUCCUGCUGCAUGGUGGGGGUGGGAAAGUUUCGGCGGUUGGGGAUGGACUCGCGGCUUAUCAGCUUGCUGGUGGGGUAGUGGCUGACCAAGGCUUUGACGGGUAGCCGGCCUGAGAGGGUGACCGGCCACAUUGGGCCUGCGAUACGCCCCAGACUCCUACGGGAGGCAGCAGUGGGGAAUAUUGCACAGUGGGCGGACGCCUGAUGCAGCAACGCCGCGUGCGGGAUGCCGGCCUUCGGGUUGUAAACCGCUUUCGCCUGUGACGAAGCGUGAGUGACGGUAAUGGGUAAAGAAGCACCGGCUAACUACGUG
This 468-nucleotide ribosomal RNA is filed under the name uncultured bacterium. RNAcentral's name for it is "partial 16S ribosomal RNA". It matches the Rfam family "Bacterial small subunit ribosomal RNA", at positions 28 to 507 of the family's 1533-position model. The record is from RNAcentral.